GGGCGAAAGCCUGACGGAGCAACGCCGCGUGAGGGACGAAGGCCUCUGGGCUGUAAACCUCUUUUCUCAAGGAAGAAGAUAUGACGGUACUUGAGGAAUAAGCCACGGCUAAUUCCGUGCCAGCAGCCGCGGUAAUACGGGAGUGGCAAGCGUUAUCCGGAAUUAUUGGGCGUAAAGCGUCCGCAGGCGGCUUUUCAAGUCUGCUGUUAAAGCGUGGAGCUUAACUCCAUCAUGGCAGUGGAAACUGAAAGGCUUGAGUAUGGUAGGGGCAGAGGGAAUUCCCGGUGUAGCGGUGAAAUGCGUAUAUAUCGGGAAGAACACCAGUGGCGAAGGCGCUCUGCUGGGCCAUUACUGACGCUCAUGGACGAAAGCCAGGGGAGCGAAAGGGAUUAGAUACCCCUGUAGUCCUGGCCGUAAACGAUGAACACUAGGUGUCGGGGGAAUCGACCCCUUCGGUGUCGUAGCUAACGCGUUAAGUGUUCCGCCUGGGGAGUACGCACGCAAGUGUGAAACUCAAAGGAUUUGAC
This 527-nucleotide ribosomal RNA is filed under the name uncultured cyanobacterium. Its description in RNAcentral is "bacterial SSU rRNA". It matches the Rfam family "Bacterial small subunit ribosomal RNA", at positions 373 to 914 of the family's 1533-position model. The record is from RNAcentral. Lineage: Bacteria; Bacillati; Cyanobacteriota.